CGCAACCCUCGACCUUAGUUGCCAGCAUUCAGUUGGGCACUCUAAGGUGACUGCCGGCUAAAAGUCGGAGGAAGGUGGGGAUGACGUCAAAUCAUCAUGCCCCUUAUGACCUGGGCUACACACGUGCUACAAUGGGCGGUACAAAGGGUCGCGAACCCGCGAGGGGGAGCCAAUCCCAAAAAGCCGCUCUCAGUUCGGAUUGCAGGCUGCAACUCGCCUGCAUGAAGCCGGAAUCGCUAGUAAUCGCGGAUCAGCAUGCCCGCGGUCGAAUACGUUCCGGGCCUU
Molecule: ribosomal RNA, 285 nt
Filed under: uncultured Anoxybacillus sp.
Lineage: Bacteria; Bacillati; Bacillota; Bacilli; Caryophanales; Anoxybacillaceae
Description: partial 16S ribosomal RNA
Rfam family: Bacterial small subunit ribosomal RNA
Source: RNAcentral